This 439-nucleotide long non-coding RNA is filed under the name Vombatus ursinus (common wombat). RNAcentral's name for it is "lncRNA (ENSVURG00010021219.1)". Lineage: Eukaryota; Metazoa; Chordata; Mammalia; Diprotodontia; Vombatidae. The record is from RNAcentral.
CCGUUAGGGACCCAGGGGCACCACGCCCCGGGGCNNNNNNNNNNUGUGAUGCUCUGAUUUCUCUCGGGCGUCCAGUUCAGAUGAGGAUGAUGAUAAUGAAGAAAAAACCCCACCACCAUCACCACCACUACCUUUGACACAUUCCAUUGCAACUGCUCUCUUGGCUUCAGUUUUAUGGUCUACACCACACUUGUUUAUUUGCCUCUCAAUUGACCCCUUUCAUUGGGGCAGGUAAGUGGUGGGAUGGAUAAAAUGCUGGGUUAGAAUCAGGAAGAUCUGAGUUCAAAUCUGGCCUCACGCACAUACUAACUGUGUGACCCUGGGUAAGUCAUUUAACCUCUGAUUGCUUCCAUUUUGAGGAUAAUCAUAGCACCCACCUCCCAGGGUUAUUUUGCAUUUCAAAUGAGAUAAUAUUUGUAAGGCACCUACCAUUGCUGGC